GAAGUAAAAGUCGUAACAAGGUCUCCGUAGGUGAACCUGCGGAGGGAUCAUUACUGAGUGAGGGCCUUCGGGCUCGACCUCCAACCCUUUGUGAACACAACUUGUUGCUUCGGGGGCGACCCUGCCGUUUCGACGGCGAGCGCCCCCGGAGGCCUUCAAACACUGCAUCUUUGCGUCGGAGUUUAAGUAAAUUAAACAAAACUUUCAACAACGGAUCUCUUGGUUCUGGCAUCGAUGAAGAACGCAGCGAAAUGCGAUAAGUAAUGUGAAUUGCAGAAUUCAGUGAAUCAUCGAAUCUUUGAACGCACAUUGCGCCCCUUGGUAUUCCGAGGGGCAUGCCUGUUCGAGCGUCAUUUCACCACUCAAGCCUCGCUUGGUAUUGGGCGCCGCGGUGUUCCGCGCGCCUCAAAGUCUCCGGCUGAGCUGUCCGUCUCUAAGCGUUGUGAUUUCAUUAAUCGCUUCGGAGCGCGGGCGGUCGCGGCCGUUAAAUCUUUUACAAGGUUGACCUCGGAUCAGGUAGGGAUACCCGCUGAACUUAAGCAUAUCAAUAAGCCGGAGGA
Molecule: ribosomal RNA, 560 nt
Filed under: Cercospora zebrina
Lineage: Eukaryota; Fungi; Ascomycota; Dothideomycetes; Mycosphaerellales; Mycosphaerellaceae
Description: eukaryotic LSU rRNA
Rfam family: 5.8S ribosomal RNA (bases 200-353)
Source: RNAcentral